Molecule: long non-coding RNA, 351 nt
Filed under: Anas platyrhynchos platyrhynchos (common mallard)
Lineage: Eukaryota; Metazoa; Chordata; Aves; Anseriformes; Anatidae
Description: lncRNA (ENSAPLG00000017241.1)
Source: RNAcentral
AUGUGGACAAAGUAUUGUGAAAGCUAUAAUCAAGGCAACACGAGAAUUUUGGGUGGGCUAUCAAAGCUUACCUUCAAAGGUUACCUUGUGUGCUUGCUGGAAAGGAAAUUUGACGUGACCCAGCAAGAAUUGUCAUGCGAAGAGGAUGGAUUAUUGAUGAAGAGAAAGAAUAAGCAUAGACUCCCCGCUUCCAUUUCUGUUUUAGAGUUCAUGUUGGGGGGCCAUAUGCAGAAAGUUUAUCGUCAAGCCACUGCCCUAACAAGUCAAAGAAAUGACCCAGCGUGGAGGCAUUUUGAUCGAAAGCCCAGUGUAACAGAGAGAGAGAGAUCUUGCACCACAGAUACUUUUUGA